RNAcentral lists this long non-coding RNA (1320 nucleotides) under Cicer arietinum (chickpea). RNAcentral's name for it is "long non-coding RNA (CARI_LNC001002)". The record is from RNAcentral. Lineage: Eukaryota; Viridiplantae; Streptophyta; Magnoliopsida; Fabales; Fabaceae.
UCCUGUACCUGGAUGCGACUACACGAAUGAGAUGCGACUUCAUUACAAUGGACCAUAUCAGAAUCUCCAUCUGUUAAGACAAACAGGUCAAAGUGGAGAAAACAAUAAUUUUGGUGGCAACUCAGUCCACAGAAGCAGUGUUAUAGAUCACAUUGCAGGCUCCUAUGCUCGAACACAGCACUACGAGAGCAAUGGAUUGAACAGUAAUACAUUGGAACUACUGCUAAAGAAGAAUGCAACUAAUAUUGCUACUGCUAACAGGAAUUUGGAUACAAGCAUCAAUGUGGCAGCAAGAAACCCACUGCUACCAAGAUUUUACCCUCAGGCUAGCAGUGAUAUGAGUUAUUCCUAUGCAGCUUCAGAUAUGGUGUAUAAGGAAGCAAAUAGACUUCUCAUUCCGAAUAGGAAUUCUGAAUUUAGUGGCAGCAACACAGACAACUUGCUCAACAAUGAUAUUCACUGCUCAGUCUCAAACCAACUGAAGGACAUCUUCUCUGGAGUAUACUAUGGUAACUUCUUUUAUUCUGUAAUUCAAAUUCAGAUAUAAAUUAGUGGUUACAAUGCCUUUCCAGUGUUAUUAUUUUAAUUGAGAUGUUUGGGCAACUGAAUCAGAAACAUGCUAAACUGUUCAAUUGCAUGUUAUAUCUAGCCACACAAACUUACAGGUAUUAUUGUCACCAAAUUAAUACACAAAUUGAUAAUAAACUAUAUCUCUAUGGAAAUUUUAUGACCCAGAACAUAACAAUUCAAGGUAAAUACAUUUCUACUGUAAUGCCAAUAAUUGAACUUAUGCAGUAAUGCAAUGAAUGAGGGAGCAAAGAAAAAAAAACUAGUUUCAGUACAAUUUGGCAUUCACAGUAACCAAAAUAAAUUUUGAUUUUCAUCACAAUGAUGAGAUUAAUUAUUCUUUCAAUUAUUAAGACAAAAACCAUGAAGUUAUAAACAUUGAUCAUGAAUGCGGACAAUAGUUUUAUCAUUUAUUUUAUUAAUUUCUUUACGAAGUCAUGGAAAUGUUAUCCACCGAGUUAAAUGGUAAGCAACAAUGAGAAACUAUGAUAAAGAUUGUGAUCUUACAAACACAAUGAUCCUUUUUCUUUGCUGUUUAAACAAUACCUUCUUGCAUCCCUUAUAAGCUUUCAGCGACAAUUCAGUGAAUGACAAAAACUGCUUUUACAGGUGAUUCUCACCCUGAGCAUUAUCUGAACUAUGUGCCAAUUGGAGAAGCUGAUGCCACCACCAGUUUCACCAACUCCCUCCAAUCAAUACCAAAAACAACGGAUCAGCUCAAGUUUUUGGAAAACCAGAUCUGUCCAAUGCCUG